GAUGAACGCUGGCGGCGUGCCUAAUACAUGCAAGUCGAGCGAACAGAUAAGGAGCUUGCUCCUUUGACGUUAGCGGCGGACGGGUGAGUAACACGUGGGUAACCUACCUAUAAGACUGGAAUAACUCCGGGAAACCGGGGCUAAUGCAGGAUAACAUGUUGAACCGCAUGGUUCUACAGUGAAAGGCGGCUUUGCUGUCACUUAUAGAUGGACCCGCGCCGUAUUAGCUAGUUGGUGAGGUAACGGCUCACCAAGGCAACGAUACGUAGCCGACCUGAGAGGGUGAUCGGCCACACUGGAACUGAGACACGGUCCAGACUCCUACGGGAGGCAGCAGUAGGGAAUCUUCCGCAAUGGGCGAAAGCCUGACGGAGCAACGCCGCGUGAGUGAUGAAGGUCUUCGGAUCGUAAAACUCUGUUAUUAGGGAAGAACAAAUGCGUAAGUAACUGUGCGCGUCUUGACGGUACCUAAUCAGAAAGCCACGACUAACUACGUG
This 497-nucleotide ribosomal RNA is filed under the name uncultured bacterium. RNAcentral describes it as "partial 16S ribosomal RNA". It matches the Rfam family "Bacterial small subunit ribosomal RNA", at positions 28 to 507 of the family's 1533-position model. The record is from RNAcentral.